Molecule: non-coding RNA, 1124 nt
Organism: Podarcis lilfordi (Lilford's wall lizard)
Lineage: Eukaryota; Metazoa; Chordata; Lepidosauria; Squamata; Lacertidae
Source: the annotation of a GenBank genome assembly
AGCUCACCCCAUUGCAGGGUUUCGAACUGCCGACCUGAUUGGCAAGCCCAAGAGGCUCAGUGGUUUAGACCACAGUGCCACCCAUUUAAUUGUAGAAAAAAAUCUCAAAGGGGAAAGACUGAUUCCAUGCGAUCCUGCUUAGUUUACAAGGCCAGCAGUGUCUUUGUAGCAGAUCAACACGUGAAGGAGAUAAGAUUUCACAGCUGAAGUGGAAAUCUCUGCACUUCUGUACACAAGGGGUCUGAAGUGUGCAGAGGGAGGGGCUGUACCUGCGAGCUAUUAAAAUGAGGGCCUUGAGUGGUACACAGUGUUAGUCAUACUCGGGGUAGACCCAUUGCAGUGGGCCUAAUCAGCAUGUGGCUACCACUGAAUACUGUCUGUUGCCUUUUCUCUUACUUCAGAUCAACUCUGCCUUCAUGCUUUCACCGUGUUCCAGCAGUCCAGCUCUCCACCGUAGAGCAAGAUUUAAUUGCCAAAGUGUGGCUGGCCACAAUUUGUCAGUAGAGGGAGCUGGUGUGUGUAGUGUUUUGUUGCAGGUGCGCCUUCAAGACGUAAUCUAUUAGAACAGGGCAGUCCAACAACUCCUACCAAGCGGGCAGCAAGAAUAAUUUGACACGGAACCCACAGGCCACACACGGAAUUAAAUUUCCAUAUCGUUAAUUAUAAAGUGUUUGCAGUAUAGUUGAUAUUAUUUAAUAUACAUGAUAUAUUUAUGUAUGUAUAACUACAUAACUAAUAGAUUAGAUUUAAUUUAUUAAACAAGUUUAAUACACAAACACAGGGUGUGUCACUGGCAGAGAAAGAUGCACAGCACAGAAAUACAGAAGAACCCGGGAUCAGGGUUUGUGAGAGAAUCUUGAAAUCCCACCUGAGGAAGAUCUGAGGUCGGGUAUAAGAGCAGCCCUGAAACAAUUGCCACCAUGUCCCAUCUCUCCCACUCAGUUGCAGUCCAGCCUACCUCUCUCCUUGCCCAUCCUGGAGAGGAUGGAGGGAAGAGGCAGAAAGUCACAGGUUCAAGAUCCUCUUUCCUUACUAAUAUAUAAUAAUAAUAAUAAAUUUUAUUUAUUCCCCAGCCAAGACCGGGCUCAGGGUGGCUAACAACCAAUAAUAAAAACAAGUUGAUU